AGAAAGCAGUCAGCAAGCAGAGGAGUUAGAACCAUCUGGUGACAGUGUGAGUACAUAUGUAGGGAGGCAGGUACGGCAAGAAGUGAUCCUGCGGUAUUUUUCAGAUAACUGAGGUGAUCGGGGCUCAUCACUCUGUGGACUCGCCAAUAGUGCCAGUGGUGGCUGGGGUGACACUGCAGAAAUGCGCCGCCUGGGUGGGGAAGAUGGAGCCGCAGAUUCCGUGCCAAGACGCCGUGUCUUACUUGGCCUCCUGGAAUAUGUGACUACAGUGAAGUCUUACCUGCAAUCCCAGCAUCAUCCUGAGUUGUCUGAGGCCUGUCUGGCCGGCUGGUCUGUCGGACUGUUGAAAAAGUGGAGCAAACAUUAUUACCAUGCUUUGUGUAAAAAUUACAACUGCAAAGCCUUAGUGUACUGUA
Molecule: long non-coding RNA, 416 nt
Organism: Pseudophryne corroboree (corroboree frog)
Lineage: Eukaryota; Metazoa; Chordata; Amphibia; Anura; Myobatrachidae
Exons: 3
Source: RefSeq, a predicted model, not a curated record